CCUACGGGAGGCAGCAGUGGGGAAUAUUGCACAAUGGGCGCAAGCCUGAUGCAGCCAUGCCGCGUGUGUGAAGAAGGCCUUCGGGUUGUAAAGCACUUUCAGUCAGGAGGAAAGGUUAACGGUUAAUACCCGUUAGCUGUGACGUUACUGACAGAAGAAGCACCGGCUAACUCCGUGCCAGCAGCCGCGGUAAUACGGAGGGUGCGAGCGUUAAUCGGAAUUACUGGGCGUAAAGCGUACGCAGGCGGUUUGUUAAGCGAGAUGUGAAAGCCCCGGGCUCAACCUGGGAACUGCAUUUCGAACUGGCAAACUAGAGUGUGAUAGAGGGUGGUAGAAUUUCAGGUGUAGCGGUGAAAUGCGUAGAGAUCUGAAGGAAUACCGAUGGCGAAGGCAGCCACCUGGGUCAACACUGACGCUCAUGUACGAAAGCGUGGGGAGCAAACGGGAUUAGAUACCCCGGUAGUCCACGCCGUAAACGAUGUCUACUAGAAGCUCGGAGCCUCGGUUCUGUUUUUCAAAGCUAACGCAUUAAGUAGACCGCCUGGGGAGUACGGCCGCAAGGUUAAAACUCAAGGAAUUGACGG
Molecule: ribosomal RNA, 584 nt
Filed under: uncultured marine bacterium
Lineage: Bacteria
Description: bacterial SSU rRNA
Rfam family: Bacterial small subunit ribosomal RNA
Source: RNAcentral